Molecule: long non-coding RNA, 398 nt
Organism: Cygnus atratus (black swan)
Lineage: Eukaryota; Metazoa; Chordata; Aves; Anseriformes; Anatidae
Exons: 3
Source: RefSeq, a predicted model, not a curated record
GGCAAGACAAGGAUUCCACCAGUGCCAGAUUGCAAAGGGAGUGUGGUCUGCUCAAACAAAAGUCUAUAAAGAAUAUCUCCAAGUGAAUUGAAACACAAGAUAUGACCAAAUACAGGGAGCAUGUAAGAAGAUGGACAUUAAUAUUCAGGGGAAGGUCUGGUGAGAGAUCUGAGUGUGGCCAUGAGGACAUCUGGGUGCUCUCUUGGUGCAUGAGCAAGGUUAUUCUGGGCAAAUCCUGCUCUGCUGGUGAGUAAAUGUGGAAGCUGGAUGCUGCUAAGCACAAGAUACUGCUUGUCUACUCAUAUCAGUUUGGCAAGAUUAGCCUGCCUCUGAGAGAAGAAAGAGUCUCCAGGUUGCUUUAUCUGCCUUUGAGUUGGAGUUUAAGAAGCCUUUGGACU